RNAcentral lists this non-coding RNA (27 nucleotides) under Cricetulus griseus (Chinese hamster). The record is from RNAcentral. Lineage: Eukaryota; Metazoa; Chordata; Mammalia; Rodentia; Cricetidae.
GGAAGUGGAAAGUUGGAAGACAGAAGU